CUGGUUUCCUUGGAGACACUGACCGUGGGCUUUGGGGUCUGAAGCUUUAGUGGGUCCUCUGUCCAGACCAUCCCUUGCCUCUUCUUGGGCCGGCGACCUCAGAGACUGCAGACUGUUCCUUCCAAACACGACCCCGGGGACGCAGUGAGUCUGACCUAUCAGAUUCCUCCAGGCCAGGAAGGUCUUAGACACCCGCUCCCCCGCCGUGUUCCCAGCGCCCAGUGCCUACCUCCCCAAAGGAAGGCCGUUGAGGGCUCCCCAGAAGCACAGUGAGAACCCUGGACUGCCCGAUAGAGCCCUGGGGUGAAGUUACAAUCCUCCAGUUUCCUGUCACCGCUGGGACAUCUCAGAACCACACUGCAAGAGGCAGAAGUGUCAGCACUCGAAAGCAUAACCAUUGCAUAGUAUUAAAUGAACAGAGAUGGUGAGUUCUUUAUUUACAAUUAUUGUCUAGAUAAAAAAAUUCAUAAAAACAGAUGAAUGGUCAUAAAUUAUUGACCCCCUAGUGGGGUGAGUUGCCAAACAUAUCCCAUGCUGCUAGAUAUAGGACGCAGACUGCAAGCUUUGUGUACUACAGUGAGUUUUUGACAAUCCAUCCAUUUCCUAUGUGCGUGCAUGUGUGGGUGUAUGUGAACAUGUAUGAUUGAGGGGGCACAUGUGUGAUCACUCUUCCUGAUGAGAAGAGAGCAACAUGUGUGUUGGACAUUCUCAGUGCUUUCAUGGUUCCUUUUCACCCAAGCAGGGUCCGCUUGGAGACGCCUCCCAUCUGCCUUGGGUUCUGGCCCACAGCAUAGGGAGCCUGGCGUGCAGCCGAUGGUCCUGACGUCAUGGAAUGAGGUCAUGAAUGCAUGGUCAAACAGAGAAAGGGCAAAUGGAAAAGUGAGAAAAGAAACUCCAAAAAACCACCGUGUUGCAAGUUUUCCUGGCUGCACAUCCUUCCUUCCUUGGAGGAGCGCAGCAGGCAGGCAUUGGUGGUGUUUUUACCAGAAUCCAAUCUGGGCAUCUGAGGGCUGGUGCCCUGUGGCUGGGGAUGCAGUGUCCUCUGAUGGAUACAUUCAGAGAGAGUUCUUCACAACAUUCAGGCGGUGCUCUCUCACACAGAACAUCCUCCUUACAGGAGGUUUUGCCAGGUGGGGUGGGCUGACUUCGAACCCCGAACCCUUUAGGAUUUCCCACAGCUGUUAGAUGUAGGCCCGCCCAGCUGACUAUGGCUCUGUUCCCAAGUGGCUGUCAUCUUGUUAGUGGAAGAGUUCUCUGGGCCUGGAGGAGGGUGGAGGCGGGCUGACACUGAGCAGUCACGGGGAGGGUCAGUGUGAGGAAUGGAUUUUGCAAGCCAGGCGAAAGUGUUUGGUUUUCCUUGAAGCAUGGGACAUCAUCGAUCAUGGUAUUCAAAUUGUCUUUUGCACUGUACAAGUUUAUGGAAAAAGAUCAUAUGCCGAAAAGUCUCAAAGCAAACUUUGUAUUAAAUACAAAAGUUCUUUUAUGAAAAAAGCUGAGACCCACAAAGUGCUUAGCAGUUUAGAGGCUGACAGACAAUUCAAUGAGCUCUUAUUAAGUGGGAUUACUAGUGCUGUUAUUGUCUUGCGGGAAGUAACUGUCUUUCUCACCUGUGACACGGGAGGGUUCAGAAUGGCUUUCUGUCUGGGGAAGCAAGACUUGCUGUUAAAAGGCUACAGUAUAUAUUGUGACUACAGGAAGACAAUUUGGUUUAAAAAUCACACUGAAUCCAUCUCAAUAUACAUGUCAUAAGGUUCAUUCGGAUCUAAAUAGUGCAGAGAAAAAGGCUAUUCUUUAAAAAUAAAAAUAAAAGCAGCAAGCUAUACGAAGCCUCAUCUGAUAUGCCAACAGCUCUUUUGCUGCCCUUUAUAAAGAAAUAAACCUUUAAAUUACUAACUAAAAAAAUCAACACAAUACCAUUUAUGAUAUUUUAUCACUACCUCACACUCUUUACAGACAGUGCCAGAGACAGCCUAUUUUGGAAGUGCUCCUGGUAAACUCUAGUGAGUUUCAUUGAGAGAAAAGCCUUCGCCCAGCGCCUUGCAGAUUCUGACACCAUUGGGCUGGGCUGUGCACUCGAGUUGCAAAUGCAGAAACUUCUCUCCUCGUCUCCUUUUGUCUACGGAGCACGGUGGUGAACCCUGCAGGAUGGAUCCUCAGUAGCACUGGCUUCUGCCUGAGCCUUCCACAGUAGUAAUGUGAUUGAAAUGGAAAUAGCAGGCAAAAAUAAGAGCAUGGCUAUUGUAAAACAUCAAGGAUGCAAUCCGGGGAAGUGUCUGCUGGGCCAAGCUGUUUUCAUAGCAUCUCAGCCACCAGUGUCCUUAAACCAUACAAAUAGCCAAAGACAUUAUCUACAGUGGCCGUGACCCCAUUGCUAGUGGGUGCUUCCUGACCAGCUGAGAAACUCUGGAUGACGUGACCUCUUUAUGGCUGGGCCCUG
This is a long non-coding RNA of Chinchilla lanigera (long-tailed chinchilla), 2437 nucleotides long. RefSeq lists it as uncharacterized. The transcript is spliced from 4 exons. Lineage: Eukaryota; Metazoa; Chordata; Mammalia; Rodentia; Chinchillidae. The record is from RefSeq and is a predicted model, not a curated record.